GAUGAACGCUGGCGGCGUGCCUAAUACAUGCAAGUCGAGCGAACAGACGAGGAGCUUGCUCCUCUGACGUUAGCGGCGGACGGGUGAGUAACACGUGGAUAACCUACCUAUAAGACUGGGAUAACUUCGGGAAACCGGAGCUAAUACCGGAUAACAUGUUGAACCGCAUGGUUCAACAGUGAAAGACGGUCUUGCUGUCACUUAUAGAUGGAUCCGCGCCGCAUUAGCUAGUUGGUAAGGUAACGGCUUACCAAGGCAACGAUGCGUAGCCGACCUGAGAGGUUGGUCGGCCACACUGGACCUGAGACACGGUCCAGACUCCUACGGGAGGCAGCAGUAGGGAAUCUUCCGCAAUGGGCGAAAGCCUGACGGAGCAACGCCGCGUGAGUGAAGAAGGUCUUCGGAUCGUAAAACUCUGUUAUUAGGGAAGAACAAAUGUGUAAGUAACUAUGCACGUCUUGACGGUACCUAAUCAGAAAGCCACGGCUAACUACGUG
RNAcentral lists this ribosomal RNA (497 nucleotides) under uncultured bacterium. RNAcentral describes it as "partial 16S ribosomal RNA". It matches the Rfam family "Bacterial small subunit ribosomal RNA", at positions 28 to 507 of the family's 1533-position model. The record is from RNAcentral.